CUCCUAUCUACUAUCUAGCGAAACCACAGCCAAGGGAACGGGCUUGGCAGAAUCAGCGGGGAAAGAAGACCCUGUUGAGCUUGACUCUAGUCUGGCUUUGUGAAGAGACAUGAGAGGUGUAGCAUAAGUGGGAGGCUCGGCCGCACGUGAAAUACCACUACUCUCAUCGUUUCUUUACUUACUCGGUUAGGCGGGAAGCGAGCGCGUGCGCGCUCACCCUUCUAGCUCCAAGCGCGGGGACUCCGCUCCCGGCGCGACCCGAUCCGAGAACAGAGCCAGGUGGGGAGUUUGACUGGGGCGGUACAUCUGCCAAAAGGUAACGCAGGUGUCCUAAGGCCAGCUCAGCGAGGACAGAAACCUUGCGUAGAGCAAAAGGGCAAAUGCUGGCUUGAUCCCGAUUUUCAGUACGAAUACGGACCGCGAAAGCGGGGCCUAUCGAUCCUUUUGUCGUUACGAGUUUUAAGCAAGAGGUGUCAGAAAAGUUACCACAGGGAUAACUCAUAUGCUUG
Molecule: ribosomal RNA, 509 nt
Filed under: Allothereua maculata
Lineage: Eukaryota; Metazoa; Arthropoda; Chilopoda; Scutigeromorpha; Scutigeridae
Description: eukaryotic LSU rRNA
Rfam family: Eukaryotic large subunit ribosomal RNA
Source: RNAcentral